UGGUGACAGAGAGGUGGAGAGGUGAGAUUUAUCUCAGAAAUGGGCUGCAGAGCCGCAACGGUGCUCCUCGCGUUCCUUGCACAAGGCAUGAAUGCGUUUAUUUAAAACAGGCCUGACAGAUGUCAUAUGCCUAUAUGUGGCCACGUCUUCACACAUCAUGGAUGGAUGGAACGCUUGAUGUACGGAGCAGCUUUUAUCCUUCUGAAAGUGCAUACAGAGGUCGACUGAUCCAGGGAUAGCAGAAUAAAGGCUGCCUAAAUUCAUCCAUCCCAGUGCCAGCAGCAAGACAGAGGCGACGCUGAGAGAUUCAGCACCCAAAGCGGCUUUCCCUGAACAUAAUACAAAACAAUGUGGACUCACAGGUGGAUGCGGUUUUCCAGUCCUCAGGAUCCAGGGCGUAAAAGUCUCGUGUUUGUACAACCUGUUGGAUAAAAGGACUACCGUGGUCUGAUCCCAGACUCCAUCGUAGUUUUACUGACGUGUCUCCAAUCUCUUCCACACGGACACCACCUGGAGGACCAGGCAGACCUGAAGCGCAAACAGUCGGCAAUGUCAUGAUGGUUAUAUUUGCGUCAAGUCUAUUUGAUUUAUGCAGUGAAACAAUGGGAAGGGUUAGUUGAUGAAUAAACUACAAACAUCAAUGCAUUGUUUUUAAUACAGCUUUGUACAAGUCUACAUAUCAGAGGCAUUAUUUUAAUAAGCUACUGUAGGACACACAGAGUUCAAAUCACCAACCUUUGACAAAAACAUCAGCUUCUGCGGUGGCAUUGUCCACUAUGGUCUGAGCUGUGCAGGAAUAGUGUCCUGCGUGCCUCACCUGGAUGUUCUUGAUCAGCAGGUCUCCGCUGUUCUCGUCACCCUGCAAAAACACACACACAAACAGUGAAACUGCUUGUCUUCCUGAGAACAGAAUGCCUGAGAUUCCUGUCUCUACUCACCAUGAGCAGCUCGUAGUGUUCAAAGUCUGUGUAGAAGUUGAUGACGUAGGAAUCAACAGUCCAGAUAAAGGUGAUGUCCAGGCUGGGAUCAAAUGAUGCAGAACACUGGAGAAUUGUAGUGUCACCUACAACUGCCUCAGUGUCUGAUGGAGCCUCUGUGAUUUUGGUGGCCUCUGAGAAAAUGAAAGGGACACAAAUGCAUACACCUCAUAUUACCUCAUAUUAACUAUUUAGAAAAAUGAAAAAGACCAGUCACAAAACCUAUGAUAAACACACAUACACACAUAAAUUCAUAUCAAUUUUAACCUUAUUAUGCUGAUUUAAAAAAGUAAAUAAUUAUGAAACUACCCAUAUGCACUAUUUAGUUCAUUAAUAAUUU
Molecule: long non-coding RNA, 1317 nt
Organism: Cyprinus carpio carpio
Lineage: Eukaryota; Metazoa; Chordata; Actinopteri; Cypriniformes; Cyprinidae
Source: Ensembl